CUAGUCCGUCUGCUGCUUCAUUCUGUCGACGAGCAACUCCGCGACGCGGAGACUUGAAGGCGUGGUGUUGCGGGCUGCGAGUUGCACCAGCGUCACCUGUGUUGCUUCCAGCCGCUUAUCGCGCAGCGGGAUCGCGACCAAGGUGCCGGAGACCAGUUCAGGCAUCGCCGCGUUCCGCGGCAGGAAAGUCCCGAGACCGGUCUUGGCAGCCAUCGUUCGUGCGAACGCGAUGGAGUUGGUUUCGCUGUAG
This 250-nucleotide unclassified non-coding RNA is filed under the name Hevea brasiliensis (rubber tree). Lineage: Eukaryota; Viridiplantae; Streptophyta; Magnoliopsida; Malpighiales; Euphorbiaceae. The record is from RNAcentral.